GAUUCCAUGGCACAAUAGAUAAGGUGCUAGUUUACAGAACCAGAUAUUCUGGGUUCAAUCCCCUGUGGAGUCG
This 73-nucleotide transfer RNA is filed under the name Ipomoea nil (Japanese morning glory). It matches the Rfam family "tRNA". From Rfam's summary of the family: Transfer RNA (tRNA) molecules are approximately 80 nucleotides in length. Their secondary structure includes four short double-helical elements and three loops (D, anti-codon, and T loops). The record is from Rfam by way of RNAcentral. Lineage: Eukaryota; Viridiplantae; Streptophyta; Magnoliopsida; Solanales; Convolvulaceae.